CAGUAGCCACGGGAAUACGGAGGGUGCAAGCGUUAAUCGGAAUUACUGGGCGUAAAGCGCGCGUAGGUGGUUCAUUAAGUUGGAUGUGAAAGCCCUGGGCUCAACCUGGGAACUGCAUCCAAAACUGGUGAGCUAGAGUACGGUAGAGGGUAGUGGAAUUUCCUGUGUAGCGGUGAAAUGCGUAGAUAUAGGAAGGAACACCAGUGGCGAAGGCGACUACCUGGACUGAUACUGACACUGAGGUGCGAAAGCGUGGGGAGCAAACAGGAUUAGAUACCCCCGUAGUCCCUGUCUCUUAUAC
RNAcentral lists this ribosomal RNA (301 nucleotides) under uncultured bacterium. RNAcentral's name for it is "partial 16S ribosomal RNA". It matches the Rfam family "Bacterial small subunit ribosomal RNA", at positions 509 to 807 of the family's 1533-position model. The record is from RNAcentral.